GCUGGGCGUGGGUGGCACACGCCUGUAAUCCCAGCAACUUGGAAGGCUUGAGGCAGGAGGAUCACAGUUCUAGGCCAGCCUCAGCAAUUUAGUGAGGUCCUAAGCAACUUAGUGAGACCCUGUCUCAA
Molecule: small RNA, 128 nt
Filed under: Marmota monax (woodchuck)
Lineage: Eukaryota; Metazoa; Chordata; Mammalia; Rodentia; Sciuridae
Source: RNAcentral